GCUGCGUUUGGGUGCAACACGAGUUGAGCUCUGAGACUCACGAUUUUUUGACGAGUCCACGCGUCGCGUACAACUGCAAAACAGCCAAACAAACAUACAACAAGUCUAACAAAAUUGCAAAAAAAAAAACCAAACAAAAUAAAACAAAAGAAAAAUAAAUAAAAACAAAACAAAUUGAAGACAAACAUCAACAUAAAUAGCAAACGCCGCUGAGGGCAAAAGUCGCCGAAGGCAAAAAUAAGGAAAAACAGCAAAAUAUCAUAAAUAAAUAAAAAGCAAAAAGAAAGAUAAACAUAAUCGAAAUCGAAAUCAGAAAACAAAAAUCAAAAAUCAAAAAAUUCCAACAAGACAUUGGACAGGUGUCAGCCAGCGCAGAAACGGAUUUUCAUUAAUCAAAAGCUACCAGUUGAAAAGUCAAGCUAUACAGUCUUUACGGUGAUGUGAUUGAAGUUCAAUAGCCAAACAAGCCGACGUCAAGCAUAAGGUAAGCCGCAAUCGAUUUUGGCAUUAAAUAGCAAUUAAGUGUACGCCCACAACAACAACAGCAACAACAACAAUGGCAACAACAAUGGCCAUAGACGCAACUCACUUUUCGUCUAAGGCCAGAGAAA
Drosophila hydei is the source of this 611-nucleotide long non-coding RNA. RefSeq lists it as uncharacterized. NCBI's taxonomy places the organism in Eukaryota, Metazoa, Arthropoda, Insecta, Diptera, Drosophilidae. The record is from RefSeq and is a predicted model, not a curated record. The transcript is spliced from 4 exons.